RNAcentral lists this ribosomal RNA (445 nucleotides) under uncultured bacterium. RNAcentral's name for it is "bacterial SSU rRNA". It matches the Rfam family "Bacterial small subunit ribosomal RNA", at positions 28 to 453 of the family's 1533-position model. The record is from RNAcentral.
GAUGAACGCUGGCGGCGUGCUUAACACAUGCAAGUCGAACGAAGCACUCUAUUUGAUUUUCUUCGGAAAUGAAGAUUUUGUGACUGAGUGGCGGACGGGUGAGUAACGCGUGGGUAACCUGCCUCAUACAGGGGGAUAACAGUUGGAAACGACUGCUAAUACCGCAUAAGCGCACAGGAUUGCAUGAUCCGGUGUGAAAAACUCCGGUGGUAUGAGAUGGACCCGCGUCUGAUUAGCCAGUUGGCAGGGUAACGGCCUACCAAAGCGACGAUCAGUAGCCGACCUGAGAGGGUGACUGGCCACAUUGGGACUGAGACACGGCCCAAACUCCUACGGGAGGCAGCAGUGGGGAAUAUUGCACAAUGGGGGAAACCCUGAUGCAGCGACGCCGCGUGAGCGAAGAAGUAUUUCGGUAUGUAAAGCUCUAUCAGCAGGGAAGAAGAAU